AGUGAACGCUGGCGGUAGGCCUAACACAUGCAAGUCGAACGGCAGCACAGUAAGAGCUUGCUCUUACGGGUGGCGAGUGGCGGACGGGUGAGGAAUACAUCGGAAUCUACUUUUUCGUGGGGGAUAACGUAGGGAAACUUACGCUAAUACCGCAUACGACCUACGGGUGAAAGCAGGGGAUCUUCGGACCUUGCGCGAUUGAAUGAGCCGAUGUCGGAUUAGCUAGUUGGCGGGGUAAAGGCCCACCAAGGCGACGAUCCGUAGCUGGUCUGAGAGGAUGAUCAGCCACACUGGAACUGAGACACGGUCCAGACUCCGACGGGAGGCAGCAGUGGGGAAUAUUGGACAAUGGGCGCAAGCCUGAUCCAGCCAUACCGCGUGGGUGAAGAAGGCCUUCGGGUUGUAAAGCCCUUUUGUUGGGAAAGAAAAGCAGCAGAUUAAUACCCCGCUGUUCUGACGGUACCCAAAGAAUAAGCACCGGCUAACUUCGUG
RNAcentral lists this ribosomal RNA (492 nucleotides) under uncultured bacterium. Its description in RNAcentral is "partial 16S ribosomal RNA". It matches the Rfam family "Bacterial small subunit ribosomal RNA", at positions 29 to 507 of the family's 1533-position model. The record is from RNAcentral.